UUUUAGGGAGACCUAUCCCACUUAUAGACUGAAAAAAGAUUUGAAUUAGGUCAUAAGAUGGUCAAACCUAGGUCGUGCGAGGAUUGGUAAAGCUUUUAAACUAUUAGAUGGUUCGGAUAUUUAUCCGAAGUUAAACUAGAAUAUGGUGAUAACUUCAGCAACCUGGCUUAUAUGUAAUGUAUAAGUGGGCCUGCUGGAUGAAUUUCCAGUCAGAACCUUGAAAACUGCAUAGUCACGCAAUUAAUGUAGGUAGUUAAUUGGGAAGAGGUAAUGGGUAAUAGGUAAUGGGUAAUAGUCGAAUAGACAAUUACCAAUGACCAAUUAGCGAUUACCGAUGACCAAACGUUUACAGACACCAAUUUACGGCUGU
Molecule: unclassified non-coding RNA, 370 nt
Filed under: Scytonematopsis contorta HA4267-MV1
Lineage: Bacteria; Bacillati; Cyanobacteriota; Cyanophyceae; Nostocales; Scytonemataceae
Description: 16S-23S ribosomal RNA intergenic spacer
Source: RNAcentral